UUUGGGUGAAGCAGAAGUCCUACAUUUCUGUUUUAUUUCCCAGAAUAGUGCAGAUGUUUGGGGGAAGCAGUGGCUGUGGGAAAAUGGCUUUCUUAUGAACUAUGGCAAAGAAAUAGCUGAAAUCAUGAUGAGUGGAUCCUCCUUUACCCUGCUUUCUAGGUCAGCCUCUGAAGACCCACCCUGGGAAGAGAUGAUUGGUUUUAGGAAAAUACAAAAUUCAAGGGAGAUCCUGAUUACAAGGGAGAAGAUCACAUUUCAGGGGUCUGUUCCUGCUCCUGGACAUCAAGGAGGACAGAAGAGGAAGAACUACUGGAGCAAAAAACACGUCAAUCUUUUCAACAUAAUUUGGAACGGCAGGGGGAGGGUACAAGAGAGAUCCUAAUCUUAAUAUAUAUUAGGUGCUCACAUACAACGGCAGUGGGUGUGGACAGGAAAGCUCAAUAGCCAGCUAGAUGGUAGAUUAGGCAGCUUGUUUGUCUUGAGAUGGUUAGCUGAAAAAGGGCAGGAGAGAAGCAAGGAGGGGCUGGAGUAGAGCGGUGUGAGGUGAGCAGUGGAAAGAGAAGUUCAAGCAAGGUGCAGAGAAGAAAGACUGAAAAAGGGACCAGGAUGGGGAGGGAGGACAGAAACGGGAUGCAGGAAAAAUAACUAAAUAAAUAGAAAGUAUGUGAAGAUGAAAGCCAUGGGAAUUAACCUGGCUCCUAUUAAAGCAGACAGCAUUGCUCUUUGGAGACAGUAGGUUUAGCUGAUAGGGAGAUUUUGAAAUAGGGCAGAAGGAAAAAAAGAAGGACUGAUAGACAAAAGAUAGGCAAAAAGAAAAAAAAAAAGGAGAAGGAAUAGGCUAAAAUGGAAUUUUAAAAAAAAAGUGUUAAAAAUGAAUACUGGAAAGCAUGCUUCAUUUGUAGCAAAUAUAGUGGAAAAGGGUGGGGAGACUGAAAUGAGAGCAAAGAAAAAUGCAUGAGAUCAUUUUGUUAUUUCAGAGUCCUGGCUGUCAAACUGAGGCCUUGAGAAAAGCCUGUGGCACAUGUGAAGAUGUACAGGGGAUAAAAUUGUUAUAAAUUAUAAAACAUGUGAUUUUAUGCCCAUUAGAUGUGACUUCACUUUCCUCUGAAGUGUUCUACUCCUAAAGCAAAGCAGGCUGGUAGAGUGUGUUGGGAGGCUGGGUAGGAAAGAUGAAGAGCAGCAAGGAACAGGGCUGUGACCGCAUGGUUUUCUACGGGUCUUUGUCUCAGCCUUGACUUACUAAGGAAAUAAAAGCUUCAGCUGAAGCUCUUCCUGAAGCUGGGAGGUUACGAGGUCCAUCCCCACCAUGUUUAUUCUGGCAUGUGGGCUCUCUGCUGGCAGAACGUGACCUGACGUGAACGUGACACAGCCCUGGAAAUGCCAGCUCCAUCAUCAAACUUGGCUGACCAGGGCUGAUGGAUUCAAAAAUCACUGAGGGAGACCCAGGCACUCACGCACACCCAGAGCAAAAUCAGGCGGUCUAUUUUUCUGUGUAAGAAGUGUAAGCGAGACCCAUGCCUGGGAGCAAUCUGCUGGUUUUACUCCGGUUGCUCAUCCCCUCCUCCAGGGCAAGAUCGAUAAUGCUCAAGUGGGAAAGCGUCGGCUCCGACUCUCUGCAGUCAUACAGCGAGUCCCAGAGGGGAACACUUGGCUGGGCUGGCCAGGCUGCUGAAACAGCCCCAGACGGGCUGCUGGGGUGAGAAUUACCACCCCACCUCACAGCCCUGCACUGACUGGCAACACAGCUCGCGUCCCUGCAGAAGGAAACCUGCCACGACACGGGGGUGCUCGUGCUGAAUCGGGGCACUUUUCCAUCAGCUUUCUGUUCCUCUUUGUGCAUUUUCAUGGCAGGAGCAGGUGCUGGUGAAAUUAUCUUAUUUUUCCGCUCAGUGCUGUAGCAGGCAGCGAUGGGAGUGGUUUAUGCUGUUUUGCUGUCGGAGCUCCCCGUGCUCGACCUGGGGCUUAAAGUGUAUCCCCAACAGGAAAAGGGAAUCUUGCAAAGAUAGGAUCCAAAGCUUUAACAAGCCCAGUAUGUUUGUGACAACAUGUUUUGAAGAAGGAAGUACAAGCAGAUAAAUAUAUAAUAUUACAUAUGCUUCUUAGAAACUUGGUGUAACGCUGAGAACAUUCGGUACCUACGUCGUGUUAACAAACUUCCCAAAGCAAAUUCCAAAACCUCCAUUCCUGGUGGUGCCCCCAGCCCCACCGGGUGGGACCGACCCCUCCGGGUGCAGGCUGUGAGCGUGGCAAGGGACAGCUGUGCUGGCUCCUCAGGGCUUGGAUCCCAGGCGUGGACAGCUUGCGGGAGAAAAACAUCAGGUCUUUUCUGAAGUUGUGAAAUAAAGAUGCAUAGGGUUUUCGGCCACAGCCGUUGACAGUUUUAGAUCCCUUGGUUAUUUUUUCCUAGCCCGUUGCAGCAGUAUAUGCGGCACAAA
Long non-coding RNA from Cygnus olor (mute swan), 2435 nucleotides. RefSeq lists it as uncharacterized. NCBI's taxonomy places the organism in Eukaryota, Metazoa, Chordata, Aves, Anseriformes, Anatidae. The record is from RefSeq and is a predicted model, not a curated record. The transcript is spliced from 3 exons.